AAUUUUGGACAAUGGGGGAAACCCUGAUCCAGCCAUCACGCGUGUAUGAUGAGGGCCUUCGGGUUGUAGAGUACUUUUGGCAGAGACGAAAAGGUAUCUCCUAAUACGAGAUACUGCUGACGGUACCUGCAGAAGAAGCACCGGCUUACUACGUGCCAGCAGCCGCGGUAAUACGUAGGGUGCAAGCGUUAAUCGGAAUUACUGGGAGUAAAGCGUGUGUAGGCGGUUCGGAAAGAAAGAUUUGAAAUCCCAGGGCUAAACCUUGGAACUGCAUUUUUAACUGCCGAGCUAGAGUAUGUCAGAGGGGGGUAGAAUUCCACGUGUAGCAGUGAAAUGCGUAGAUAUGUGGAGGAAUACCGAUGGCGAAGGCAGCCCCCUGGGAUAAUACUGACGCUCAGACACGAAAGCGUGGGGAGCAAACA
This 422-nucleotide ribosomal RNA is filed under the name uncultured bacterium. RNAcentral's name for it is "partial 16S ribosomal RNA". It matches the Rfam family "Bacterial small subunit ribosomal RNA", at positions 360 to 774 of the family's 1533-position model. The record is from RNAcentral.